AGGGUUUGAUCAUGGCUCAGGACGAACGCUGGCGGCGUGCCUAACACAUGCAAGUCGAACGAAGAGAAUUGAGAGCUUGCUCUUGAAGAUCUUAGUGGCGAACGGGUGAGUAACGCGUAAACAACCUGCCUUCGGGAUGGGGACAACAGACGGAAACGACUGCUAAUACCCAAUGAACUAACCGAGCGAGUGCGAGGAAGAGGAAAGGUGGCCUCUCGAAGAAGCUACCGCCGGAAGAGGGGUUUGCGUCUGAUUAGUUAGUUGGUGGGGUAACGGCCUACCAAGACGAUGAUCAGUAGCCGGUCUGAGAGGAUGAACGGCCACACUGGAACUGAGACACGGUCCAGACUCCUACGGGAGGCAGCAGUGGGGAAUCUUCCGCAAUGGACGAAAGUCUGACGGAGCAACGCCGCGUGAGUGAAGACGGCCUUCGGGUUGUAAAGCUCUGUUAUUCGGGAAGAAAGAGCCGCUUGUAAAUAAUGAGCGGAAGUGACGGUACCGAAAGAGAAAGCCACGGCUAACUACGUGCCAGCCGCCGCGGUAAUAC
Molecule: ribosomal RNA, 547 nt
Filed under: uncultured bacterium
Lineage: Bacteria
Description: bacterial SSU rRNA
Rfam family: Bacterial small subunit ribosomal RNA
Source: RNAcentral